RNAcentral lists this ribosomal RNA (116 nucleotides) under Klebsiella variicola. Lineage: Bacteria; Pseudomonadati; Pseudomonadota; Gammaproteobacteria; Enterobacterales; Enterobacteriaceae. The record is from RNAcentral.
CAUGGCCAUANUAGCGCGGUGGUCCCACCUGACCCCAUGCCGAACUCAGAAGUGAAACGCCGUAGCGCCGAUGGUAGUGUGGGGUCUCCCCAUGUGAGAGUAGGGAACUGCCAGGC